UACGUAGGGUGCGAGCGUUGUCCGGAAUUAUUGGGCGUAAAGAGCGUGUAGGCGGCCAGGUAGGUCUGCUGUGAAAACUCGAGGCUCAACCUCGAGACGUCGGCGGAAACCAUCUGGCUAGAGUCCGGAAGAGGAGAGUGGAAUUCCUGGUGUAGCGGUGAAAUGCGCAGAUAUCAGGAAGAACACCCGUGGCGAAGGCGGCUCUCUGGGACGGUACUGACGCUGAGACGCGAAAGCGUGGGGAGCAAACGGG
RNAcentral lists this ribosomal RNA (253 nucleotides) under uncultured bacterium. RNAcentral's name for it is "partial 16S ribosomal RNA". It matches the Rfam family "Bacterial small subunit ribosomal RNA", at positions 524 to 776 of the family's 1533-position model. The record is from RNAcentral.